GCUGCAUGGCUGUCGGUCAGCUCGUGUCGUGAGAUGUUCGGUUAAGUCCGCUAACGAGCGCAACCCUCGCUGUGUGGUUACAAGUGUCACACGGAACUGCCGGUCAUAAACCGGAGGAAGGUGGGGAUGACGUCAAGUCAGCAUGGCCUUUAUAUCCUGGGCUACACACACGCUACAAUGGGAAGGGACAAUAGGUUGCGAAGCCGCGAGGCGGAGCCAAUCCAGCAAAACUUCCCUCAGUUCAGAUUGCAGGCUGCAACUCGCCUGCAUGAAGUUGGAGUUGCUAGUAAACGCAGGUCAGCCAUACUGCGUUGAAUACGUUCCCGGGGCUU
Molecule: ribosomal RNA, 332 nt
Filed under: uncultured Anaerolineaceae bacterium
Lineage: Bacteria; Bacillati; Chloroflexota; Anaerolineae; Anaerolineales; Anaerolineaceae
Description: bacterial SSU rRNA
Rfam family: Bacterial small subunit ribosomal RNA
Source: RNAcentral